RNAcentral lists this ribosomal RNA (465 nucleotides) under Vreelandella stevensii. Its description in RNAcentral is "partial 16S ribosomal RNA". It matches the Rfam family "Bacterial small subunit ribosomal RNA", at positions 338 to 795 of the family's 1533-position model. The record is from RNAcentral. Lineage: Bacteria; Pseudomonadati; Pseudomonadota; Gammaproteobacteria; Oceanospirillales; Halomonadaceae.
CCUACGGGUGGCAGCAGUGGGGAAUAUUGGACAAUGGGCGAAAGCCUGAUCCAGCCAUGCCGCGUGUGUGAAGAAGGCCUUCGGGUUGUAAAGCACUUUCAGUGGGGAAGAAAGCCUUGGGGCUAAUACCCUCGAGGAAGGACAUCACCCACAGAAGAAGCACCGGCUAACUCCGUGCCAGCAGUCGCGGUAAUACGGAGGGUGCGAGCGUUAAUCGGAAUUACUGGGCGUAAAGCGCGCGUAGGCGGUCUGAUAAGCCGGUUGUGAAAGCCCCGGGCUCAACCUGGGAACGGCAUCCGGAACUGUCAGGCUAGAGUGCAGGAGAGGAAGGUAGAAUUCCCGGUGUAGCGGUGAAAUGCGUAGAGAUCGGGAGGAAUACCAGUGGCGAAGGCGGCCUUCUGGACUGACACUGACGCUGAGGUGCGAAAGCGUGGGUAGCAAACAGGAUUAGAUACCCGAGUAGUC